Non-coding RNA from Xylariales sp. No.14919, 73 nucleotides. The record is from the annotation of a GenBank genome assembly. NCBI's taxonomy places the organism in Eukaryota, Fungi, Ascomycota, Sordariomycetes, Xylariales.
GCCCAUUUAGAGCAGUGGUGAGCUCGCUCGUCUCCGGAACGAGAAGUCAGGGGUUCGAAUCCCCUAAUGGGUG